AAAUAAGUUAGACCCGCGUACCCCCAAAUCUUAAAUCCCAAACGCUAAAAGCGUAAAACCUAAUUUCCAAACUCAGAAGUCAAAAACUUUCAAUCUCUCAUGCGAUUGAGCGAUUCUUCUUCCUCUUUGAACUGCUGCGAAUCUGCGAUUCUUCUUCCUCAAACCUUCUUCGAUUCUUCUUCCUCCAGUAAAUCCAGUGGUUUCCGGCCUAGUAAGGGUGUUUCACUGAUCAACAGACCUUUUUUGGAGAAGAACUACCUUGGACCAGGUCUACCGGUGUUUAUUUGUCAGAUAAUCAUGGCAUCUCAAAUUGAAGAGAAUCUACCAGUUUCAUCUACUAAUGCUAUUUCCUUAGACGAUGAGAGUCAAAGUCCUUCACAACCUGAUGAAGUUGAACUGAAAAAAGGAGAUAUUCCCGAGCAUGGGAUCAUUUCAAGCCGAUGAAGGUUAAGGGUGUUCCAUAUGGUGCUUGUAAGUAUUGCGAUCGCCGGUAUAAAAAUUCUAGAAAUUGUGGGACAAAAUCUAUGUUAGAUCACAUGCUUAAGUGUCCUAAUAGGACAAGAGAUGCACAAAAUGAGGGCGAUACCGGGGGUGCUUAUUUUGAUCAAGAUGUUUCACGUAAAAAAACUUGCACAUGCCAUUAUUUUACACGAGUAUCCACUCUCUAUAGUUAAUCAUGUGGGAUUUAGGAACUUUGUUGCGAGUCUUCAACCUAUGUUUAAGAUGGUUUCUAGAAAUACAAUCAAGAAUGACAUAAUAAAAGUCUUUGACAAUUUGAAAUCGCAAACUUCUAUGUUGCUGGAGAAAGUCACGAGUAGAAUUGCAAUAACAACCGAUAUGUGGACUUCCAAUAGUAACAAAAAAGGGUUCAUGGCUAUUACUGGUCAUUUCAUUGAUGAUUCAUGGAGGCUUCAAAGUCAUAUUUUGAGAUUUGCUUAUGUCCCUGCUCCACAUGAUAAAGAUGUUUUGUGUGGUGCUUUGGUUAAUUGUUUGUUUGAUUGGAAUCUUGAACGAAAACUAUCGACUAUCACAGUUGAUAAUUGUAGCACAAAUAAUGCUAUGAUUAAAACUUUAUUGGAUGAGAAACUUAAUAAAAAAGAUUUGUUGUUGAGUGGUCGAGUAUUUCACGUGCGUUGUGCUGCACAUAUUUUAAACUUGAUUGUGCAAGAAGGGUUAAAAGUGAUAGGAGAUAGUAUUAAAGUGCGUGAUAGUGUCUUGUAUUGGAUUGGAUCAGUUGGCAGAAUUGAGAGGUUUGAAGAAGCCGCACGUUUGGUUCACUGUUCUUGUUAUAAGAAGUUGGAGUAUGAUUGUCCUACUCGGUGGAACUCAACAUAUUUAAUGUUGAGAACAGUUAUAGAAUACAAAGAGGUGUUUAACAAGUUGAGUCUAACUGACACAAAUUAUAAGUCGUAUCCAACUGAAGAGCAAUGGAGUAAUGCAGAAGAUGUUUCUGAUAAGCUCAAACUUUUUUAUCAUAUCACUAAAUAGUUUUCAGGAACUCAAUAUCCAACUUCUAGUCAAUACUUUAUAAAAGUUUGUGAAAUUAAAUUAGAAUUGGAAGCUUGGGUGAAAGAGCUUAAUCCUUUGAUUAGCGAUAUGACAUCUGCCAUGUUGUUGAAAUUUUAAAAAUAUUGGGAUGAUGUGCAUAUUUUGAUGGGAGUAGCUACAAUCUUUGAUCCACGGUACAAGAUGAGGUUGGUAGAGUUCUUUCUUCCACUAAUUUAUGGUGAAGAAGUUUCAACUAAAAUUCAAGAAGUUCGAUCCAGUUGUUAUGAUCUCUUUCAAGAUUAUAUGAGUAAAUUAUCUGCUCCACAUGAUUCAUUAGCAUCUAAUUCUAGUGAAGUCACUAGUUUUACUCAGGGUGAUCGGCUUUCGAGCUUUGAUAGAUUUGUAGCUUCAACUGGAUCUACCGUGGAGAAAAGAUCAGAGUUGGAUAUGUACUUAGAAGAAGACCUACUACCUCGAACCCCUUCAUUUGAUAAUUUGAGUUGGUGGAAGACAAAUGGAUUGAAAUUUCCUACAUUGCAAAAAAUGGCUCGUGAUCUCUUAGCCAUUCCCCUGUCUAGUAUUGCUUCAGAAUCGGCAUUUAGCACUAGUGGGAGGUUGAUUAGCCCGCAUCGGAGUAGACUCCACCCCACUACUUUGGAAGCUUUAAUGUGUUCUCGCACGUGGUUAUGGAAUGACUUAAAUGGUUUGACUUCAAUCGUUGAUCAAGUUUCAUGUCCAACAUUUCUUGAUGAAGAGGACGAGCCGGAUUCAAGUGGUUUAUCGCAACUAUGAGACCCUUGACAUGCUACUGUUUUUCCACAAACUAUCUACCAUUUGUCACUGAGCGUGAGCUUUUUAAGCCAACAGAUGUGCUUUGCAAGAGGAAAAAUGCGGUUCAUCCAAUUCCUAUUUUUGUGUUCUUCUGUGUCUGUUUCAACAGCCAAGAUUGCAACUUUGUGUUCUUUUGGUUCAUUAUUCUUCAACAGCAAGAGGGCACUGUUUUUGGGUCUUGCUAUAACCACAAGAAAAGUAAUUGGUUAAUCUUGAUUACCUUGCUGGAAUUUCAGUUUAUUUUGUUGAGCAUUGCAUCUGCUGUAGCAUUCUGUUUCUUUUUGUUUAUCAUUCCAGUGUGAGAUGAAUUUAAAUGGAAACAUGGUUGGUGAUUACAAUAAUGGCAUUCUAAUUUGCUAGA
Non-coding RNA from Nicotiana tabacum (common tobacco), 2680 nucleotides. The record is from RefSeq and is a predicted model, not a curated record. Lineage: Eukaryota; Viridiplantae; Streptophyta; Magnoliopsida; Solanales; Solanaceae.